This is an RNA transcript of Asparagus officinalis (garden asparagus), 4146 nucleotides long. It is a transcript of the gene named CSC1-like protein RXW8, with no coding region annotated. The record is from RefSeq and is a predicted model, not a curated record. NCBI's taxonomy places the organism in Eukaryota, Viridiplantae, Streptophyta, Magnoliopsida, Asparagales, Asparagaceae. The transcript has 11 exons.
UCGCCGGCGACCCCGGCUGCAGCCAGCCCCUACAUCUCCGCCGAUUAUGAGCUGGGUCACCUCCAACUCCUCCUCGUUCGAGCGGCGAUCGGCAACAACGACCCUCAACGCACGAGGAACAAGUUUACUGAUUUUGCAUUUUGGUAAUUGGUUCUUCUGAUAGCGCAUGAAGAUUUUAUUGCAGGAAGACAGAGAUGAAGAUCUCUGCUCUUCUGACUUCUGCUGGCAUAAACAUAGGCCUCUGUACCCUCUUCUUGUCCCUAUAUUCGAUCCUUAGAAAGCAACCGUCCAAUCUUAGUGUUUACUUUGGACGGAGGCUUUCUGAAGAGCACAAUCGACGUGACUCUUUUAGUUUUGAUAGACUGGUUCCAUCUGCUGGUUGGCUAAUGAAGGCUUGGAGGACAACUGAUGAAGAAAUCUUGUCAUCAGUUGGUCUGGAUGCUGUUGUCUUCCUCAGAAUGCUUGUUUUCAGCAUUCGUAUCUUCGCCAUAGCUGCUGGAGUGUGUCUAUUUGGAGUACUUCCUUUCAAUUAUUAUGGAAAUGAAAUGACACACACAAAGAUUCAUUUAGAGAAAAUAGAUGUAUUUAGCAUUGCAAAUGUCGAAGAUGGUUCUCAAUGGCUCUGGAUCCACUGCCUCGCCUUGUAUAUUAUAUCUUCGACAGCAUGCUUUCUUCUAUAUUUAGAAUAUAGGAAUAUCUCAAGGAUGAGGCUUGCUCAUAUUACUGAAUCUCCUCCAAAUCCUAGACAUUUCUCAGUUCUCGUUCGUUCUAUCCCAAGGACUCAUGAUGAACCAUUUGAUGUUACAAUUGUAAAUUUCUUCACAAAGUAUCAUGGAUCGAGCUAUUUAUCCCAUCAGAUGAUUUCUCAAGCUGGAACAGUUCAGAAAAUUAUGUAUAACGCGAAGAAGGUCUAUAAAAAAAUUAUACGGUUAAAGAACACUAGUUUUAACCAGCAUCAUCGUUCUAGCAACUACAGAUGUGGUCUCUGUGGAGGGGGCUCUCGUCCUUUACAUACUUAUCAUAAUGCCUUCGAGCUUGAAGCAAAACGAUAUGAGCUUGAGAGUUCUGUUUCAAGGACAACGAAGAAGGAUUCCUCAGCUGCCUUUGUAUUUUUCAAGACACGCUAUGCUGCAGUUGUUGCUUCACAGAUUCCUCAGUCUUCAGAUCCAAUGUUGUGGGCAAUUGACUUGGCUCCAGAACCAAAUGAUGUUUACUGGUCAAAUCUAUGGGUACCAUAUAGGCUAGUUUGGCUUCACAGAAUUACCGUGCAGAUUGCUACACUUGCUUUUAUGGUUGUGUUUACCAUCCCAGUUACUUUUGUGCAAGGACUAUCACAUCUGGACAAGUUGCAGAAGAAGUUCCCUGUUUUGAGAGAUCUACUGAAGAAGUCCUUCUUGAUCCAGAUUGUAACAGGCUACCUUCCCAGUGUUCUUUUAAUGCUAGCCCUUUACACUGUGCCGCCAGUGAUGAUGCUACUUUCUCGUUUUGAAGGAUGCAUAUCCCACAGUGGCAAAAGGAAAAGUGCGUGUGGCAAAGUAUUGUACUUCACCAUCUGGAAUGUAUUCUUUAUGAAUUGUUUUUCCGCAUCUUUCAUUAGGAAUCUCGUAUCAGCUCCAACCGACAUUCCCACAAUGCUUGCUAAAUUAUUACCAGGACAGGCAGCUUUUUUCAUUACUUAUGUUCUAACAUCAGGAUGGGCCAGUUUAUCUGCUGAACUUCUACAAAUUUUCCCUCUCAUCUGUAACUUUAUUAAGAGAACUCUGGGUAUAAGUGACGAUGAUCCAUCUGUGCUAUCCUUUCCUUACUACACUGAAGUUCCGAGAGUUCUCCUUCUUAGCCUGAUUGGUUUCACAUACUCAGUAUUAGCGCCUCUAAUAUUACCGUUCUUGCUGGUUUACUUUUUACUUGCUUACUUGGUGUAUCGCAAUCAGACUUGAGAUCAAAAUCACAUCAAGAUUUCAAGGAAUGAAAUAAGGAAUAGAGGAAGACAAGUUAAAAUAGCAAUUGUAAACUAUCUGCAGAUUUAAGUUGUAAAACUAAUUAAUAUUAGUCGCAGUGAAGAGUGAACAUUGAUUCGACGAAACUCAGAGAUUAUUGACCGAGUUAUAAACUUAUAAUUAGCUAAAGUAGUUGCAUUGAAAAAUUAGUUGCAGUUAAAACUAAUUGCUCAAAUUUAAUUGUAAUUACAAUUAAAUUUUCUUAUACACACAAGUAUUUUCUUAAAAUUAAUUACAAGUUUUCUAUAAACUAAUUGCAGUGAAAAAACUUAUAUUGAUUAAAAAUUAGUUGCAGUUAAAAAAACUUAUAUUGAGAUAAACAAAUGAAUAAGUCACAGUAAUAGUCUCACAAGCCAUAACAAGUUUCACAACAAAUAUCUAUAAACAGUAAUACAAGUAAUACUAUCUGUCUCAAAUAACAACACCCAAUCAACUUAAAAAAAUAGCAAACAUCCGACAGAAAAACAGAAAACACAAAACGAAGGCGAGACCAAGGUUCCUGGAGAUUUACGAAGUCGAGGUGACGAAGAGGAAACCCGUGCGGAAGAUUCGCUGGAGAUUCGCUGAGAACAGUCGCUAGAGAUUUAGGGCUUGAAGGUGACGAAGAGGCGAGGACGAAGAGGAGACGAAGAGAUUUGUCGCGACGAAGAGGCGAUGAAGAUUUGCUGGAGAAAAAGGCGACGAAGAGGUGAGGAUGAAGAAGCGACAAAGAGGCGAUGAAGAUUUGCUGGAGAAUAGCCGCCAGAGAUUUAGGGCAGAAGGUAUGGAUUCACGAAGGGGGUUGAGUUUUCAUUUUAUUGUGAAAACGGGUCGGGUCGGGUUUAAUUUCUCAACAACCUCACUCAAAUCACCAGCCACAGCGAUAACCGAUAAUAAAAACCUAUGUUAUCGGGCGAUAUUCUCCUUUAUCGGCGAUAAAUCGCCGAUAAUUUGUCAAAAACGAUAACCGACUAGAAAAUCAAGUUAUCCUAUCGGCAAGCUUAAAAAUCCGAUAUAUCACCGAUGAUACCCGAUAUAUCGCCGAUAUUUAAAACACUGCUAUUAGGUAGUUUAACUUUCCCACCAAUCUCCUAUAUACCCUAGCAUCCUCCAAAAGCUGCCCUAGGUCUUGUAAUAGCUUAAUCUUCACAUCCAUCGGAGUGUUAACAAUUGUACAUUAUAACAUAUCUAUCUCUAAAAGCAUUUUAAGGACAUAUUUCCUCUGUGAUAGAAAAAUGCCCUUUAUGGAUUUGGCAACUUCAAUAUCUAAGUACUUUAAGGAACCAAGAUCCUUUGUGUGGUAAUGCUACUGUAGAUCCUUCUUCAGGCUUUCAAUCUCAUGUAUAUCAUCGCCCGUUAUCAGAAUAUCAUCCACAUAUGCCAACAAGAGAAUUCUCUUCUCUACAUGAGUUCGCUAAAAUACUGAGUGGUCUUUCUGUGCUCGACAAUAACUAAAGUUCUGAACAGCUAAUGUAAAACACCUAAAUCAUGCUCUAGGAUCAGUGUUUUAAAAAACACCCUGGGCGACCGCCUAGGCGGAGGCGGUGCCCCAAGCGUCUCAAAAUGACUUGAGCGGAGGAAUUUAGGCGCUGGGAGCGCUUACACGGUCGCCCAGACCUAAGCGGGCUAUUUAAACGGCCCGCCCGACUUAAAAAAAAACAAAACAAACGGUGCUGAAAACAAACCCAAACCCAUUUCCAAAAACUAAACCUAAACCCAACUUACUGAUAAGUGUCGUGAAAACCCUAAUUUUUGUCAAAAUUUCCCGACGCUGCCAUGAAUUCGAAACCAUGUUCACCACGAGAAAGUUUGUUGACCUCGUCUUUGCUUCCCGACGCCUCUCGGAGCUUUCCGAUGCCUCUCGACGCUUCGCUGACGCCUCUUGACGCCUCUCGUUGCCUCUCAAAGCUUCGCCGACGCCUCUCGAGUCUCGACACCUCUCGAAGCUUUGCCGACGCCGUUGAAGCUUCCCAGAUCCUCUUUGACGCCUCUUGGAGCACCUCCGUCGAUCUCAGGCCUCUUCUUCGAUCCCCGAUCUCUUUUAUGAAUGUCUAUCGUACAAAGUAUGACUAUGGGGGUCAAUUGUGGCCUCUUGUUCACAAUACAACGAUAUUCUCAUUGGUGCUCACCCAAGUUAUAGCGCUUGGAUUCUUCGGGCUUAAGAAGUCAC